Armillaria borealis is the source of this 92-nucleotide non-coding RNA. NCBI's taxonomy places the organism in Eukaryota, Fungi, Basidiomycota, Agaricomycetes, Agaricales, Physalacriaceae. The record is from the annotation of a GenBank genome assembly.
UCUCUGGUAGUAUAUCGGUUAGUACACGCGCCUGUCAUUGACUGACUUUCCACCAUUCGCGCGAAAGCUGGGUUCGACUCCCAGCCAGAGAG